RNAcentral lists this ribosomal RNA (1661 nucleotides) under Klebsiella quasipneumoniae subsp. similipneumoniae. RNAcentral describes it as "bacterial LSU rRNA". It matches the Rfam family "Bacterial large subunit ribosomal RNA", at positions 590 to 2236 of the family's 2925-position model. RNAcentral also lists the same sequence under 1 other name. The record is from RNAcentral. Lineage: Bacteria; Pseudomonadati; Pseudomonadota; Gammaproteobacteria; Enterobacterales; Enterobacteriaceae.
GGUGUGACUGCGUACCUUUUGUAUAAUGGGUCAGCGACUUAUAUUCUGUAGCAAGGUUAACCGUAUAGGGGAGCCGCAGGGAAACCGAGUCUUAACUGGGCGUUAAGUUGCAGGGUAUAGACCCGAAACCCGGUGAUCUAGCCAUGGGCAGGUUGAAGGUUGGGUAACACUAACUGGAGGACCGAACCGACUAAUGUUGAAAAAUUAGCGGAUGACUUGUGGCUGGGGGUGAAAGGCCAAUCAAACCGGGAGAUAGCUGGUUCUCCCCGAAAGCUAUUUAGGUAGCGCCUCGUGAACUCAUCUUCGGGGGUAGAGCACUGUUUCGGCUAGGGGGUCAUCCCGACUUACCAACCCGAUGCAAACUACGAAUACCGAAGAAUGUUAUCACGGGAGACACACGGCGGGUGCUAACGUCCGUCGUGAAGAGGGAAACAACCCAGACCGCCAGCUAAGGUCCCAAAGUCAUGGUUAAGUGGGAAACGAUGUGGGAAGGCACAGACAGCCAGGAUGUUGGCUUAGAAGCAGCCAUCAUUUAAAGAAAGCGUAAUAGCUCACUGGUCGAGUCGGCCUGCGCGGAAGAUGUAACGGGGCUAAACCAUGCACCGAAGCUGCGGCAGCGACACUAUGUGUUGUUGGGUAGGGGAGCGUUCUGUAAGCCUGCGAAGGUGACCUGUGAGGGUUGCUGGAGGUAUCAGAAGUGCGAAUGCUGACAUAAGUAACGAUAAAGCGGGUGAAAAGCCCGCUCGCCGGAAGACCAAGGGUUCCUGUCCAACGUUAAUCGGGGCAGGGUGAGUCGACCCCUAAGGCGAGGCCGAAAGGCGUAGUCGAUGGGAAACAGGUUAAUAUUCCUGUACUUGGUGUUACUGCGAAGGGGGGACGGAGAAGGCUAUGUUAGCCGGGCGACGGUUGUCCCGGUUUAAGCAUGUAGGCUGGUUAUCCAGGCAAAUCCGGAUAAUCAAGGCUGAGGUGUGAUGACGAGGCACUACGGUGCUGAAGUAACAAAUGCCCUGCUUCCAGGAAAAGCCUCUAAGCAUCAGGUAACAUCAAAUCGUACCCCAAACCGACACAGGUGGUCAGGUAGAGAAUACCAAGGCGCUUGAGAGAACUCGGGUGAAGGAACUAGGCAAAAUGGUGCCGUAACUUCGGGAGAAGGCACGCUGGUGUGUAGGUGAAGUCCCUGCGGAUGGAGCUGAGACCAGUCGAAGAUACCAGCUGGCUGCAACUGUUUAUUAAAAACACAGCACUGUGCAAACACGAAAGUGGACGUAUACGGUGUGACGCCUGCCCGGUGCCGGAAGGUUAAUUGAUGGGGUUAUCCGUAAGGAGAAGCUCUUGAUCGAAGCCCCGGUAAACGGCGGCCGUAACUAUAACGGUCCUAAGGUAGCGAAAUUCCUUGUCGGGUAAGUUCCGACCUGCACGAAUGGCGUAAUGAUGGCCAGGCUGUCUCCACCCGAGACUCAGUGAAAUUGAACUCGCUGUGAAGAUGCAGUGUACCCGCGGCAAGACGGAAAGACCCCGUGAACCUUUACUAUAGCUUGACACUGAACAUUGAGCCUUGAUGUGUAGGAUAGGUGGGAGGCUUUGAAGCGUGGACGCCAGUCUGCGUGGAGCCAACCUUGAAAUACCACCCUUUAAUGUUUGAUGUUCUAACGUUGGCCCCU